UCUCUUGAGUGGAUCCUGAGUACGACGGAGCACGUGAAAUUCCGUCGGAAUCUGGGAGGACCAUCUCCUAAGGCUAAAUACUCUCUAGUGACCGAUAGUGAACCAGUACCGUGAGGGAAAGGUGAAAAGCACCCCGGAAGGGGAGUGAAAUAGAACCUGAAACCGUGUGCUUACAAGUAGUCAGAGCCCGUUAAUGGGUGAUGGCGUGCCUUUUGUAGAAUGAACCGGCGAGUUACGAUUUGAUGCAAGGUUAAGCAGUAAAUGUGGAGCCGUAGCGAAAGCGAGUCUGAAUAGGGCGUUUAGUAUUUGGUCGUAGACCCGAAACCAGGUGAUCUACCCUUGGUCAGGUUGAAGUUCAGGUAACACUGAAUGGAGGACCGAACCGACUUACGUUGAAAAGUGAGCGGAUGAACUGAGGGUAGCGGAGAAAUUCCAAUCGAACCUGGAGAUAGCUGGUUCUCUCCGAAAUAGCUUUAGGGCUAGCCUCAAGUGAUGAUUAUUGGAGGUAGAGCACUGUUUGGACGAGGGGCCCCUCUCGGGUUACCGAAUUCAGACAAACUCCGAAUGCCAAUUAAUUUAACUUGGGAGUCAGAACAUGGGUGAUAAGGUCCGUGUUCGAAAGGGAAACAGCCCAGACCACCAGCUAAGGUCCCAAAAUAUAUGUUAAGUGGAAAAGGAUGUGGCGUUGCCCAGACAACUAGGAUGUUGGCUUAGAAGCAGCCAUCAUUUAAAGAGUGCGUAAUAGCUCACUAGUCGAGUGACACUGCGCCGAAAAUGUACCGGGGCUAAACAUAUUACCGAAGCUGUGGAUUGUCCUUUGGACAAUGGUAGGAGAGCGUUCUAAGGGCGUUGAAGCAUGAUCGUAAGGACAUGUGGAGCGCUUAGAAGUGAGAAUGCCGGUGUGAGUAGCGAAAGACGGGUGAGAAUCCCGUCCACCGAUUGACUAAGGUUUC
This 953-nucleotide ribosomal RNA is filed under the name Escherichia coli. RNAcentral's name for it is "partial 23S ribosomal RNA". It matches the Rfam family "Bacterial large subunit ribosomal RNA", at positions 393 to 1354 of the family's 2925-position model. Lineage: Bacteria; Pseudomonadati; Pseudomonadota; Gammaproteobacteria; Enterobacterales; Enterobacteriaceae. The record is from RNAcentral.